UACGAAGGGGGCUAGCGUUGCUCGGAAUCACUGGGCGUAAAGCGCACGUAGGCGGAUUGCUAAGUCAGAGGUGAAAUCCUGGAGCUCAACUCCAGAACUGCCUUUGAUACUGAGGAUCUUGAGUAUGGGAGAGGUGAGUGGAACUGCGAGUGUAGAGGUGAAAUUCGUAGAUAUUCGCAAGAACACCAGUGGCGAAGGCGGCUCACUGGCCCAUUACUGACGCUGAGGCACGAAAGCGUGGGGAGCAAACAGGG
Molecule: ribosomal RNA, 254 nt
Filed under: uncultured bacterium
Lineage: Bacteria
Description: partial 16S ribosomal RNA
Rfam family: Bacterial small subunit ribosomal RNA
Source: RNAcentral